Molecule: ribosomal RNA, 390 nt
Filed under: uncultured bacterium
Lineage: Bacteria
Description: bacterial SSU rRNA
Rfam family: Bacterial small subunit ribosomal RNA
Source: RNAcentral
AUUGAACGCUGGCGGCAUGCCUUACACAUGCAAGUCGAACGGCAGCACGGGAGCAAUCCUGGUGGCGAGUGGCGAACGGGUGAGUAAUAUAUCGGAACGUGCCCAGUUGUGGGGAUAACGUAGCGAAAGCUACGCUAAUACCGCAUACGAUCUAUGGAUGAAAGCGGGGGAUCGCAAGACCUCGCGCGAUUGGAGCGGCCGAUAUCAGAUUAGGUAGUUGGUGAGGUAAAGGCUCACCAAGCCGACGAUCUGUAGCUGGUCUGAGAGGACGACCAGCCACACUGGGACUGAGACACGGCCCAGACUCCUACGGGAGGCAGCAGUGGGGAAUUUUUGGACAAUGGGCGCAAGCCUGAUCCAGCAAUGCCGCGUGCAGGAUGAAGGCCUCGG